CCUACGGGUGGCAGCAGUGGGGAAUAUUGGGCAAUGGGCGCAAGCCUGACCCAGCAACGCCGCGUGCAGGAAGACGGCUCUAUGAGUUGUAAACUGCUUUUGUACGGGGGUAAACUCCGCUACGCGUAUCUUUCUGAAAGUAUCGUACGAAUAAGGAUCGGCUAACUCCGUGCCAGCAGCCGCGGUAAUACGGAGGAUUCAAGCGUUAUCCGGAUUUAUUGGGUUUAAAGGGUGCGUAGGCGGUCGGAUAAGUUAGAGGUGAAAUCCCGAGGCUCAAAUUCGGAAUUGCCUCUGAUACUGUUAGGCUAGAGAGUAGUUGCGGUAGGCGGAAUGUAUGGUGUAGCGGUGAAAUGCUUAGAGAUCAGACAGAACACCGAUUGCGAAGGCAGCUUACCAAGCUAAAUCUGACGUUGAGGCACGAAAGCGUGGGGAGCAAACAGGAUUAGAUACCCUUGUAGUC
RNAcentral lists this ribosomal RNA (460 nucleotides) under uncultured bacterium. RNAcentral's name for it is "partial 16S ribosomal RNA". It matches the Rfam family "Bacterial small subunit ribosomal RNA", at positions 338 to 795 of the family's 1533-position model. The record is from RNAcentral.